This 984-nucleotide ribosomal RNA is filed under the name Cylindrocaulus patalis. RNAcentral's name for it is "partial 16S ribosomal RNA". The record is from RNAcentral. Lineage: Eukaryota; Metazoa; Arthropoda; Insecta; Coleoptera; Passalidae.
AAAGUUAUUAGGAUAUAUAAAUUCCCGAUUUAAAAAGGGCUAUAAAAUUAUUUAUUUUAUUGUUGAAUAAAUACUUAUCAUAAUUUUAUAGUAAUGAAAUGUUAUUCGAUUUUUAAUAUAUCUGGUUUUUUAAGAAAUGAAUUUAAUUCAAUUAUUUUAAUAUAAAAUUUAUAUAUAUAUAUAUAUAUAUUUAUUUAAAAUAUUAAAUGUAUAUAGGGAUAAGCUUAAAUACAUAUAAUUAAUUUUAUUAAAUAAGUAUAUUUAAUAGGAUUGGAAGUUUCUAUUUAUAAAUAGUGUUGUUAUACCUAAGUAUAUUUACUUUAAGAUUUAUAUUGAUUUUAAUAUUUUUAUUAGAAUAUAAAGUUUAAUUAUUAAAUUUUAGUAAUAAUGAUUAAAUUAGUAUAAGAUAUGAUAUAAUUAAUAAUAGUUAUAGGAAGGUAUUUAAAAGGAACUCGGCAAAUAAGGUUCUUGCCUGUUUAUUAAAAACAUGGUUUUUUGAUUAUAAUUUAAGAUUUGACCUGCUCAAUGAGGUAUUAAAUAGCUGCAGUAUUUUGACUGUACAAAGGUAGCAUAAUAAUUAGUUUUUUAAUUGAGAACUGGAAUGAAGGGUUGGACAAGGAAUAAGCUAUCUAUUAAAUAUUUUAUUAGAACUUUAUUUUUAAGUUAAAAAGCUUAAAUAAUUUUAAAAGACGAGAAGACCCUUUAGAACUUUAUAUUUUUAAUUUUAUAAGUUUAUUAGGAUUUACUAAUUUUUAUUAUUAUAGUAUUUUGUUGGGGCGAUAGAAAAAUUGGAAUAACUUUUUUAUUUUUUAACAUGAAUUAAUGAAUGAAUGAUCCAGUAAUACUGAUUAUUAGAUUAAGUUACCUUAGGGAUAACAGCGUGAUUUUUUUUAAGAGUUCUUAUUUAAAUUAAAGAUUACGACCUCGAUGUUGGAUUAAAAUAAACUUUAGGUGUAGGUGCUUAAUAGUUGGGUCUGUUCGACC